GAGACUCUGUGCGCGUGCAUAUCAAUAAGCGGAGGAAAAGAAACUAACAAGGAUUCCCCUAGUAACGGCGAGUGAAGCGGGAAGAGCUCAAAUUUGAAAUCUUAAAGGGUUUCCCUUUACGAAUUGUAGUUUAAAGAAGUGUUUUCUGUUGGAGUUUCGGUAAAAGUUCUUUGGAAUAGGACAUCAUAGAGGGUGAGAAUCCCGUAUUUGACCAGUUAUUUUCAGCUGUGUGAUACACUUUCAAAGAGUCGGAUUGUUUGGGAAUGCAGUCCAAGAUGGGUGGUAAAUUUCAUCUAAAGCUAAAUAUUGGCGAGAGACCGAUAGCGAACAAGUACCGUGAGGGAAAGAUGAAAAGAACUUUGAAAAGAGAGUUAAACAGUACGUGAAAUUGUCAAAAGGGAAGCGUUUGACACCAGUGUUGUUUAGUUGAAAAUCAAUUCAAUAGUUUUUGAUUCUAAGUAGUAUUGACUUCAUCAGCUUGCUGCUUUCUUCUCAGAAAUUAUUGAAUGCACUUUUCAGUUAACAAGUCAACAUCAAUUUCUUUUGUUGUAAAAGGGUAAGAGGAAGGUGGCUUGCGCUUCGGCUCAAGUGUUUAUAGCCUUUUAUCUCUGCAAUCGGAGAGAUUGAGGUCUGCAGCGUAGAUCCUUCGGGGUUAGAUACAUUGGUGCUAAGCUAUAGCCUUGUAUAGACAACUUGUUGACUAUGCUCAGUCAUGUAGCUUACUCGCUGAUGCUAUUUUACCUACGCUUAGGAUGUUGAAUCUGUGCGAGACUA
This 774-nucleotide ribosomal RNA is filed under the name uncultured Neocallimastigales. Its description in RNAcentral is "partial large subunit ribosomal RNA". It matches the Rfam family "Eukaryotic large subunit ribosomal RNA", at positions 23 to 643 of the family's 3401-position model. The record is from RNAcentral. Lineage: Eukaryota; Fungi; Neocallimastigomycota; Neocallimastigomycetes; Neocallimastigales.